Molecule: ribosomal RNA, 568 nt
Filed under: Saccharomyces cerevisiae (brewer's yeast)
Lineage: Eukaryota; Fungi; Ascomycota; Saccharomycetes; Saccharomycetales; Saccharomycetaceae
Description: LSU rRNA
Rfam family: Eukaryotic large subunit ribosomal RNA
Source: RNAcentral
GGCGAGUGAAGCGGCAAAAGCUCAAAUUUGAAAUCUGGUACCUUCGGUGCCCGAGUUGUAAUUUGGAGAGGGCAACUUUGGGGCCGUUCCUUGUCUAUGUUCCUUGGAACAGGACGUCAUAGAGGGUGAGAAUCCCGUGUGGCGAGGAGUGCGGUUCUUUGUAAAGUGCCUUCGAAGAGUCGAGUUGUUUGGGAAUGCAGCUCUAAGUGGGUGGUAAAUUCCAUCUAAAGCUAAAUAUUGGCGAGAGACCGAUAGCGAACAAGUACAGUGAUGGAAAGAUGAAAAGAACUUUGAAAAGAGAGUGAAAAAGUACGUGAAAUUGUUGAAAGGGAAGGGCAUUUGAUCAGACAUGGUGUUUUGUGCCCUCUGCUCCUUGUGGGUAGGGGAAUCUCGCAUUUCACUGGGCCAGCAUCAGUUUUGGUGGCAGGAUAAAUCCAUAGGAAUGUAGCUUGCCUCGGUAAGUAUUAUAGCCUGUGGGAAUACUGCCAGCUGGGACUGAGGACUGCGACGUAAGUCAAGGAUGCUGGCAUAAUGGUUAUAUGCCGCCCGUCUUGNAAACACGGACCAA